AACGCUAGCUACAGGCUUAACACAUGCAAGUCGAGGGGUACCAUGGUCAAAGCUUGCUUUGACUGAUGACGACCGGCGGAUGGGUGAGUAACACGUAUCCAACCUACCGUAUACACGGGGAUAGCCUUUCGAAAGAAAGAUUAAUACCCGAUGGUGUAAAGAGAUCCCCUGAUUUUUUUACUAAAGAUUUAUCGGUAUACGAUGGGGAUGCGUUCCAUUAGUUUGUUGGCGGGGUAACGGCCCACCAAGACUUCGAUGGAUAGGGGUUCUGAGAGGAAGGUCCCCCACAUUGGAACUGAGACACGGUCCAAACUCCUACGGGAGGCAGCAGUGAGGAAUAUUGGUCAAUGGACGGGAGUCUGAACCAGCCAAGUAGCGUGAAGGAUGAAGGCUCUAUGGGUCGUAAACUUCUUUUAUACGGGAAUAAAGUGAACCACGUGUGGUUUUUUGUAUGUACCGUAUGAAUAAGGAUCGGCUAACUCCGUGCCAGCAGCCGCGGUAAUACGGAGGAUCCGAGCGUUAUCCGGAUUUAUUGGGUUUAAAGGGAGCGUAGGCGGGUACUUAAGUCAGUUGUGAAAGUUUACGGCUCAACCGUGAAAUUGCAGUUGAUACUGGGUGCCUUGAGUGCAGUAGAGGUAAGCGGAAUUCGUGGUGUAGCGGUGAAAUGCUUAGAUAUCACGAAGAACUCCGAUUG
This 694-nucleotide ribosomal RNA is filed under the name uncultured bacterium. RNAcentral's name for it is "bacterial SSU rRNA". It matches the Rfam family "Bacterial small subunit ribosomal RNA", at positions 32 to 715 of the family's 1533-position model. The record is from RNAcentral.